Molecule: unclassified non-coding RNA, 338 nt
Filed under: soil metagenome
Description: partial contains 5.8S ribosomal RNA, internal transcribed spacer 2, and large subunit ribosomal RNA
Rfam family: 5.8S ribosomal RNA (bases 1-121)
Source: RNAcentral
GAUGAAGGAACGCAGCGAAAUGCGAUAAGUAGUGUGAAUUGCAGAAUUCAGUGAAUCAUCGAAUCUUUGAACGCACAUUGCGCCCCUUGGUAUUCCAUGGGGCAUGCCUGUUCGAGCGUCAUUUGUACCCUCAAGCUUUGCUUGGUGUUGGGUGUUUGUCCCGCGUUGCGCGUGGACUCGCCUUAAAGCGAUUGGCAGCCGGCAUAUUGGCCUUGGAGCGCAGCACAUUUUGCGCUUCUAGUCAUGAAUGUUGGCGUCCAUUAAGCCUAUACAUUUGCUCUUGACCUCGGAUCAGGUAGGGAUACCCGCUGAACUUAAGCAUAUCAAUAAGCGGAGGA